Molecule: long non-coding RNA, 895 nt
Organism: Pyrus x bretschneideri (Chinese white pear)
Lineage: Eukaryota; Viridiplantae; Streptophyta; Magnoliopsida; Rosales; Rosaceae
Exons: 2
Source: RefSeq, a predicted model, not a curated record
CGCAAAAUAAAGAAAAGAGAUGCAGAAGAAAAUAACAGUGAGCUAUACUAAGGCAAGAGAUAAGAGGAAAACUAUGGCUGCUUUGAGAACCAUGCUCAUGCAUUUUUUUUAUGUAUCUACCAUUAGAGGCGGAUCAAAUUUGGGCUGUGGUGGAAGAGAAGAACAGCCGUAGAUGCCGAUUGCAGCUCACGUUCUGCAAAACAGAAGGAGAAAGAAAAAAGACAAUUUUUUUUUUUUUUUUUUAAAGAUUUGACCAAAACUGUUGUUUUGAGUCAAAUCAUUAAAAAAAAAAAAAAAAAAAAACUAAAAAGCACUGCAACAUAAGAGAUCUUUCGGAUCCACAUGAAAGAGCAUUUAGUAGUAGCAAACAUUUUUUUUGAACAAACGAUAUUGUUUACAUUAAGAUAGAAAUGGUGGCUUUAAUUAAUUUUACAAUGAAUUAGUAAUAAUAUGAUUCAAAUUCGCUUUUAGUAUUAGCAACAUUUUUAAUUCAAAAGUUCAAAGCAUUUUCAAAUGACUUUUGAGUAAACCCAAAGCCAUUAAACCCUAAAAAGAAAUCCAUGUUUGAGACCCUUCGGAACCACGUGAAAGAGAAUUUAAUGGUCACCAGAGCACCUUAACCCCGUGUACCAGUUAUACUGAAAAAUCUGUCCUCAAUCCCACUAUCUCCCAUUCCCCACCCCACUUGACCACCAAAGGCCACCGCUAGCAGUACAACACCAGACUCUCUCUCUCCAUAACGUUGACAAUGAAACUAUCAUGACAUGUUUUGAACAGUCUUUGUAUCUUGUAUUGUUGUUUGUACAAAGAUUAUGGAUGAAAAAAAUGUAGUUUGUUGUUUAUUUUUUCAAUUUAUCUUCGUCUAAUUUUUAUUGGAACUUUUAUAUUGGGACAA